This is a long non-coding RNA of Anguilla rostrata (American eel), 4092 nucleotides long. RefSeq lists it as uncharacterized. The record is from RefSeq and is a predicted model, not a curated record. The transcript is spliced from 2 exons. NCBI's taxonomy places the organism in Eukaryota, Metazoa, Chordata, Actinopteri, Anguilliformes, Anguillidae.
UUCUGCCCUUCCUUUUUUAAUUCUCCUUUUUAAUUUUCUCUCGGAUCUUUUUGCCUCCAUUGCUGCUUAAGACAAAUGGACGCCGCAAUUGGCGCAACGAGAGUCUAGUCUGCUAAUUCACGCCUGACGAAAAAUGAAGCUUAAAAUAUGUUCACAUUUUAGAGAAUGUAAUUAAUAUUUUCCUCAUUAAUGAUGUAUUAUUUCACCCACCCGCAACCCAUCCGCUAUUAAUCAGAAUGUUAAUUUUUAUGACUCGGCCCACCCGAUCCGCAGAUUAACCGUGGUGCCCGCGGAUAUAACUGCGAUCCGCACAUCACUAAUACACACAUGCCUUAUUUUUUCCCCACCGCAUUCAGCGAAGAAGAAUAUCAGGGUCAGAGCCAAUCAGAGGCAGAGUAGGGGCGGGUCUUCGCAGAAUGCGGGUGGGGAAAAAAUAACGCUACACACACACAGACAGACCUGCUAAAUGUCAGGUGCACCGGUGCGACCAAUGAAAAUGUUUAGUCGCACUUGACAGAUUUUUGGUCGCAUGUUCAACCAAAAUGGUCGCACUCUGGAGCCUUGAUUUAUACUCACUACUAUCCCAGCAUCCUGUUGGCUUUUUUACUGCAACAGCACAGUGCCUAGAACCUGAAAGGUUUUGAUCAACUAUUACUCCCAAAAUUGAGCACAUUCCAAUAUCGUUCCUCCCAUAAAGUAAUCUAGCCUUGUGUUAUUAUUUCCCACAUGUAGAACUUUACAUUGAGCUGUAUUGAGUUUCAUUUGCCAGGUUUCCACCGACUUCUGGAUUCACUUCUGUCACAUAUUGCAGUCUUCAUCCAUCCCCAUUAUUCACUACCUGCUCUGCACUCUAAUGAAAUCCAUACUUACACUAGAGCUACCGCGGUUACUGCAUUACCGCGGAAACGCAAUCACGUGUUGACGACAGGGAAACUUAAUGCUACAGGGCAUAGGUGGCUUGCUGCCCUAGCCACAUACGAUUUUGAAGUAAAAUAUCGCCCUGAGAAGGUCAAUGUUGAGGCUGAUUUGCUUUCCCGAAACUGGACACUGAGACGUGGAGAAACCUUUCACAGGGUGAUGUGAAGGCGAUUUGUGGUCGUGUGCAUGUGCAGGAGUCUAGUGACAGUGAUGUGCACUUGGCAGACAAACUAGGUGUUCCAGCAGAAGGUGUUCCUGAGCUGUAUGCUUUUGCAACUCAUCUCAAUUUGGGUCAGCUAGAACAGUUCACCCGAGAAGACUUGCGAGAAGCGCAGCUAGAGGACAGUGUUCUCAGAGUAGUUAGAGAGGCUUUGAACACAGGUCAGUGGCCGGCAAACUAGAGCUGCCGCGGUUACUGCAUUACCGUGGUAACGCAAUCACGUCACGUCCACCGCAGAGUCAAGCUGAUCACCGCUUCACCGCUGGGUUUUGUUUUUUCCCGUUUAUUUUAGGCCAAUUGUUUAUGUUCCAAUUUUACUUGUAAAAGUUGUGAUCUGAAAUAAAUGCAAUGCAAUUUUUAAAAUAAUUAUAAUUAUUAUUGUGUAGCCUAUUUUCUUCACUCCAUGUGUUUGAAAGUUUUCACUCACAGUUGCGCAGUUAACAUUCUGAUCGGAGAAAGUGUCACCCAGAACGUGCUUUGAAACUGUUGGCUACAGAAAGUUUUCGCUUCAAAUUAGGCUAAAAACAUGGAUCUUGUAGCGAAACCCAACGUUACUUCUCCUGUUUGGGAACAUUUUGGCUUUGAGCCCGAUGAAGAUGGAAAGCCAAAGAAUUUGGAUGAGGCAGUGUGCCGCAUUUGCAGCAAGAAAAUCAACGUCAUGCGAGGAAACAGGACAAAUCUAGCAUCGCAUCUUAGGACCACUCACCGUCCGUUAUACGAUGCAAUGAAAGGCACCCCAUCUACCUCGGGAGGUACCGGCUCGGCACUACGUCAGUUAGGAGUCUCAGAGGCAUUUGCCAGAGUGACUAAAUACAACCGGGACAGCAACAAGUGGCGAGCACUUACAACAACUGUAACAAAGUAUUUGGUUGUGGAGAUGGUGCCCUUCCGGACUGUAGGAAAGCCAUCAUUCCGAGCUAUGCUUCAGUCCUUCGACAAACAGUAUGAACUGCUGGGCAGAACCUAUUUUCGGAAACAGCCAUUCCAGAAAUGUACUUGAAAAAAACGAAAUCGUAGCCGGAGGUUUAAAUUAUUAUUUUUUAAUGGCGGUUACCGCAACGGUUUGAAUGGCUUCGCUAAUUUUUGCGGUAAGGAAAAAAUCCCACCUGUCCAUAGCCACGCUCCCAAACACCAUCUAAAAGCACCCUCCCCUAGGCCUGGAAGCUAGGCCUCUUAUAGAGCCCAUGGUUAGGUAAUGGGCCACAGCUGCACCAAUACCUCCCUGGUGGACAGCACCCCAAUUCCCUUCCUGGCAUCACAUGUUAAACAGGCAAGAGCUUUGAGGAUAUGCUGUGGGGCACUCAGAACAACACCAAUUAAUGCAUUACUAAUGAGAUGGGAGAAAUACCACUGAGGCAUAGAUGGAUAAAACUUGCUUUGCAUAACUGGAUUAAGUUUAAAUGAUCUAGUGUAGAUCACCCUGCUAAGAAUCCUGUUGAGAUCUCAUGGGAAGUGGACAUGCAAGGGAUUCAUUGUUAAUUAAUUGUGCUGCAACAUGAAGAACAGACAAACCAACUAAUAAUAAAUAACUCUCCAGUGCUUCCUCAGGCAGUAUGUGAGAAGGGCAUCCAAUUGAUCUGGCGUAAUCUGAAUUAUGGAGUGAAACAUUCAGGCGAAGAGCCACUUCCUCCAAAUGGCUGAACACUACAGGGUCAAUCUCUGUGAUGCAGCUACCUGGAACAAACUGUCAAAGCAUCCACACAAAAGAGCACAUAAUGAUGACUAGCAUUUUCAGCUAGGUCAGCCAGGCUCAAGCCUCUGGCUAUCUCUUGCCUGUAUAGGAAACAACAGUUUUCCUAUUUGGCUCAAUUCUGAAAAUAUAACUAGAACUAGAUUAAUCAUUUUUAAUACAAACCAUUCACACCUACAUCCUAAUUAUGAUUUAAUACCAUAAUGGAAUUUCUGGGACGUGCCAUUCAGAAACUGACAUGGCGAGCUAACCUAAGUUUUAAUACCUUUAAAGGUUCACACAAAGUAAGGUAACUCAAUACAGUUUGAUGUUUUAGGAUACAAACACUGUUUCUAAUCUAUCUAUUGAUUACAUUUAAAUGUUUUUCAUAGCCUAUUGCCAACUGGUGAAAACUUAUCACGAUACUGUACAUUUGUAGUGUAGUCAGGUUAUCCACUAGGUGGAGCCCUAGGCUUUUCGAAACAGGAUAUACCAACCAAUGUAAGACGUCAGUGAGGUAGUGAGGUAGCUUGUUCAGGAGAUUGAGUGCAGCCGUACUGUAUGUAUGCCACAGUUCUUUAAGCUCCAAAGUAAAGUUUAUCAUAAACUCUUCUAUGUGGUCCUGUUCUUUUCCCUUCUGAAGUUAUCCCAGCAUUAUUCUGCAGUUCCCGUUGAAUGUCUUCCCUUUUCAGUCCUGUUAUGUUCCCUUGCUCUGUGACUGAUUGCUCUAUCAAAAAUAUGCAAUCUGUUAGUCACGAAAAGACUGUUUACGAUUACAUACAUUUGGAUCUUUGAUAUGCACACACAUUACAGCACCCAAAAAAUACUUAUGGUAAAACAAUGUGCUUACAUAUCACCAAAACAAACUUUUAUUUGGCAAUAUCUCCCAAAAUGUUUAUCAAAAUCCCUCACCUUUCGUUGGAGAGAAAGCAAGGGUCAUUCUGAGUGUUUAUCCUGAAAUACGUCACUCAAGCUGCACCACCUAACCAAAAAAAUAAAAUCUGUGUUACGUUUUGCCCUGCUCUGCCCUACUAACGUAAAUGUGGUAAAAAGCAACCGGUGUUGAAGCAAGGCAUGUACAGUGAAUCUACGUACUCUGGUAUCGAUCAACCAAUUGAAAUAGUGACACUAUGACAUAUUUUCAUUGACAGCCCCCUCAUUAACAUAUGGAUGAAAAAAUACAGAAAUAAAUACAGAAAUAUAUAUAUAUACAGGCAUAAAUUAAUCAAAACAUAAAUAAGGAAAUAAAUAUAUACAGAAAUAAAUGAAUCAAGCAAUAAAUAAA